Oncorhynchus tshawytscha (Chinook salmon) is the source of this 1041-nucleotide long non-coding RNA. The record is from Ensembl. NCBI's taxonomy places the organism in Eukaryota, Metazoa, Chordata, Actinopteri, Salmoniformes, Salmonidae.
GUUAAGGUGGAGGAGGUUCUGCUCACGGUCGGUGAACAGGACUGCUCCUCAAAACCUAAUGUCUACCUGGCCCACCACUCCACCCUGGAAUUGAACAGCCUUUAUGACUAGGUCAACCUAUAUACAUUCACAACUUUUGCCAGGACCCUGAAGGACCCUUACCCUCAGCCCCAGCACAUCACACAGGAGCAACAGAGCAACGGACACCCCACCCAGACUAGCAAGACACCCUCCCGAAGGACUUGAACCGAGACAACCCAAGUGAAGAGGACCUACACCCAGACCACAGCAUCACCAGCCACAUCCUCAACCCCACCCAAAAUAGCCGAGGCCUCCCCCCAAAAAACAUGGCCACACCCUAUAUAGGCACCCUGAGAUCAGACCUCAACAGAGAAAAAUGUUCUCAUCUGUGCUACCUACAGUAAAUCCCCUAAUAGAAUCUCCAUACUUUAACAAUGACAUCUUCUCUAUCCAAGAGGGGAGAUCAACCAUUUCCAGGCCCAGAGAGAUGUACUAGUCUGGACAAGAACCUGACACUCUUAGCACACGGGGACAAACACCUACCUGGAAGUGACAGCAUUCCCUCCCAAAUAUGCCCUAGGCACAACUGCAGUAUGACAAAACAACCAACAAAACAGGUCACAACUCCUGCAGCACUGUCUCACGCAGGGACCUGAGCCCUAGGACCAUGCCUCAGGACUACCUGACAUGAUGACUCCUUGCUGUCCCCAGUCCACCUGGCCAUGCUGCUGCUCCAGUUUCAACUGUUCUGCCUGUGAUUAUUAUUAUCUGACCAUGCUGGUCAUUUAUGAACAUUUGAACAUCUUGGCCAUGUUCUGUUAUAAUCUCCACCCGGCACAGCCAGAAGAGGACUGGCCACCCCACAUACCCUGGUUCCUCUCUAGGUUUCUUCCUAGGUUUUGGCCUUACUAGGGAGUUUUUCCUAGCCACCAUGCUUCUGCACCUGCAUUGCUUGCUGUUUGGGGUUUUAGGCUGGGUUUCUGUACAGCACUUUGAGAUAUCAGCUGAUGUACAAAGGGC